AUAUUUGCUGUGUUGGUGUAAUGUACUCAGGUGAAUAAGAUGCUUAUUCAUGAUCACCUGAGUACAUUACACCAACACAGCAAAUUUCAGGAAUGAGU
Non-coding RNA from Paramuricea clavata, 98 nucleotides. NCBI's taxonomy places the organism in Eukaryota, Metazoa, Cnidaria, Anthozoa, Malacalcyonacea, Plexauridae. The record is from the annotation of a GenBank genome assembly.